Molecule: ribosomal RNA, 468 nt
Filed under: uncultured bacterium
Lineage: Bacteria
Description: partial 16S ribosomal RNA
Rfam family: Bacterial small subunit ribosomal RNA
Source: RNAcentral
GACGAACGCUGGCGGCGUGCUUAACACAUGCCAGUCGAACGGAAAGGCCCUGCUUUUGUGGGGUGCUCGAGUGGCGAACGGGUGAGUAACACGUGAGUAACCUGCCCUUGACUUUGGGAUAACUUCAGGAAACUGGGGCUAAUACCGGAUAGGAGCUCCUGCUGCAUGGUGGGGGUUGGAAAGUUUCGGCGGUUGGGGAUGGACUCGCGGCUUAUCAGCUUGUUGGUGGGGUAGUGGCUCACCAAGGCUUUGACGGGUAGCCGGCCUGAGAGGGUGGCCGGCCACAUUGGGACUGAGAUACGGCCCAGACUCCUACGGGAGGCAGCAGUGGGGAAUAUUGCACAAUGGGCGGAAGCCUGAUGCAGCAACGCCGCGUGCGGGAUGACGGCCUUCGGGUUGUAAACCGCUUUCGCCUGUGACGAAGCGUGAGUGACGGUAAUGGGUAAAGAAGCACCGGCUAACUACGUG